RNAcentral lists this ribosomal RNA (274 nucleotides) under uncultured bacterium. RNAcentral describes it as "partial 16S ribosomal RNA". It matches the Rfam family "Bacterial small subunit ribosomal RNA", at positions 523 to 796 of the family's 1533-position model. The record is from RNAcentral.
AUACGGAGGGGGCUAGCGUUGUUCGGAUUUACUGGGCGUAAAGCGCGCGUAGGCGGGCUGGUCAGUUGGGGGUGAAAUCCCGAGGCUUAACCUCGGAACUGCCCUCAAUACUGCCAGUCUUGAGUUCGAGAGAGGUGAGUGGAAUUCCUAGUGUAGAGGUGAAAUUCGUAGAUAUUAGGAAGAACACCAGUGGCGAAGGCGGCUCACUGGCUCGAUACUGACGCUGAGGCGCGAAAGCGUGGGGAGCAAACAGGAUUAGAAACCCCAGAAGUCC